CCUACGUGAGGCAGCAGUGAGGAAUAUUGGUCAAUGGGCGCGAGCCUGAACCAGCCAAGUAUCGUGAAGGAUGACUGCCCUACGGGUUGUAAACUUCUUUUAUAAAGUAAUCAAGUGAGGCACGUGUGCCUUUUUGUAUGUACUUUAUGAAUAAGGAUCGGCUAACUCCGUGCCAGCAGCCGCGGUAAUACGGAGGAUCCGAGCGUUAUCCGGAUUUAUUGGGUUUAAAGGGAGCGUAGAUGGGUUGUUAAGUCAGUUGUGAAAGUUUGCGGCUCAACCGUAAAAUUGCAAUUGAUACUGGCAGUCUUGAGUACAGUUGAGGUAGGCGGAAUUCGUGGUGUAGCGGUGAAAUGCUUAGAUAUCACGAAGAACUCCGAUUGCGAAGGCAGCUUACUAAACUGCCACUGACAUUGAUGCUCGAAAGUGUGGGUAUCAAACAGGAUUAGAUACCCGAGUAGUC
This 460-nucleotide ribosomal RNA is filed under the name uncultured bacterium. RNAcentral's name for it is "partial 16S ribosomal RNA". It matches the Rfam family "Bacterial small subunit ribosomal RNA", at positions 338 to 795 of the family's 1533-position model. The record is from RNAcentral.